Poecilia latipinna (sailfin molly) is the source of this 488-nucleotide long non-coding RNA. RefSeq lists it as uncharacterized. NCBI's taxonomy places the organism in Eukaryota, Metazoa, Chordata, Actinopteri, Cyprinodontiformes, Poeciliidae. The record is from RefSeq and is a predicted model, not a curated record. The transcript has 4 exons.
UUAUCGCCACAACCGAUUCAGUAAGGAAAGUGGGAGAAUCCUUUUAUAUAUUACAAGUAUAUGAAGUACCUCUAUCCGUAUGAAUGUGAAAAGCGGGGACUGAGCUCUCCUGGCGAACUUCAAGCAGCAAUAGACAGCAACCGUCGGGAGAGCCGUAGGCAGAACUACAGUUCUACCAUCUUCAGCUAUUCUGUCGCAAGCCCACAGACUUCUCUCCCAACAACAACAAUACAGCCACAUGUACCAAUGCUUUCUCACCAAAGCAACUAUAUCACCCAGGCCCCUUCUGUCAAAAGAGAUGAUAGACAAGAGUCCGCAUUGAAUCUGUCUACCAACGGCAUUAACAGCAUCAACAUGUCAAUAGAAAUAAAUGGAGUUGUCUACACAGGUGUCCUAUUUGCCCAGCAGUCGACAGUGGCAGGGAUUAUGGAACACCGCAGGAAGCAGAGUAACACUCAGGGAAAGCCCAGGGCAACAUUUUUCCAACC